This is a transfer RNA of 573 nucleotides. The stretch from base 294 to 366 matches the Rfam family "tRNA".
UAGGGAGACCAUCUGAUAGUCGACCGAACCUAAACAAUAGGUCGUUGUCAGUCAUCCCUGGUCGUUCGAGGCAUAGAUGUCAAAGCUUUCAAACUAUUAACUGGUUCGGAACUCGCGGGCUAUUAGCUCAGUUGGUUAGAGCGCACCCCUGAUAAGGGUGAGGUCCCUGGUUCAAAUCCAGGAUGGCCCACCUGGAAAAAAGUGAUGAAUUGUCAGUAAUGAGUAAUGGAUAAUCAAUGAUUAAUUCAGGAUUAAUUCAGGACUCAUACAAUCAAAAUCAGAACUUACUUAGUGGGGGUAUAGCUCAGUUGGUAGAGCGCCUGCCUUGCACGCAGGAAGUCAGCGGUUCGAGUCCGCUUACCUCCACUCUCACUAACUAUUACCACCGCCAAAAAAACCAAAAAAAAUAGAAAUCAGCACCCAGACUAACUUGGUCAAAAAAGAAGUCGGAAUGCUGGAGUCUAGAACUCUAGUCAGAACCUUGAAAACUGCAUAGAAAUUAAGUCAUCAAAGCGUGUCAGUCAUCCGAGAAAUCGGAGUAUCUGACCAGCGACCACCAUGAAAAAAUCAAGU